RNAcentral lists this unclassified non-coding RNA (876 nucleotides) under Hevea brasiliensis (rubber tree). The record is from RNAcentral. Lineage: Eukaryota; Viridiplantae; Streptophyta; Magnoliopsida; Malpighiales; Euphorbiaceae.
CCAUGUAAAACACCAGUCACAACGAGGUCAUGAGGCAUUCUGUUGACUGGAUUCAACUCUCAAGCACUUUCAGAGGGAAGAGUACUCUGAAUGUUCGAAGGCAUCAAUAUGUUGAAACCAUCACUGGCAGUAGAUACGAGCAUACCAGGAAUCUGACCAUGCCAAUGAAGUUCUUUCAAAUCUUUUUGCCCCUGAUGAACAAACAGAAGCUGAGGGGGUAUAUCAGCUGGAGCAUUCACUUGCUCAUUUAUUUUAGCUCUAAACUCUGCUUCCUCUUCCUCAUCCUUCUCUAAAGAGAGGUCCCAUAUUGUUAACUGAUUUUCAGAUGAUGAAACUGCCAAAACAGAGGCUUCAUGUGGACUCCACUCAAUGGAUGUUACAGGGUGCUUAUGGUAUUCAAAAUGUGCCACGACUGAUUUAUCUUCUUCCUGCUUUUGUGAUAACAAUCUAAGAUCACGAAUGGAAAAUAUCCCGUCAUCACUUCCAGAUGCCAGCAUAACACUAGCCAACCUGUUCCAUGAAAUAACAUUCACAUCUGCAUUAUGUGCCUUGAAAGAAAUUGCUGGUGACUUCCCCAAGCGGAUAUCCCAUAUUGCAAUACUUCCAUCAACAGAACAAGAGGCAAAUACCUCAUCUUCCGUAGGACUCCACUGUAGAUCUUCCACACUUGCAGAAUGCCCAAUAAAUGGGGCAUUACUAAUAUUCCAUGUUGCACCAGAUGUAGGCUCCCAUAAAUGAAUACAAUUCUUGCAGUCACCAGACACCAGCCUUCCAGUGACACGAGGACUCCAAUCUAUUGCAUAACCUUCAUCUUUGUGCCCUCCAAACUUAAUUAAAGGAGCCUGAGAAACUGAAGAGCCUCCCUGGUUAACUUCU